CUUUCUUUAGCUUGCCCAUGGUGAUGUGAAGAUGAGAAGAAAUAGCAAGGCCCAACCAGUUCUUCAUCUGGAGACAGUUCAACGUUCUGCAAACCAGAUCUUCAGGAAUUUUACUGGGAUAAUUAUCCAAAUAAAUUGCAAGCAUUCUAUCCAAAUGGAGCUCUUUCUGAGAUGAAGAGAAUUCUCAAUGUCAAGAUUUGAACAAGAAGAGAAUGGAAUACACAAUAUGGACAUCCAUAAAAAUUCAUCAGAGAGCAUUUUACUACUGAGCUGCAAAGGGAAAAACUUAAAAUGGAUAUGAAAAGUGAAGAAAGUGAUCAUAGGAGAAAACCAUUUCAGGUGUCUGAUGAUUUGUGAGCCUCAAGUGACUACUCUGUGGAAUCAUCUGUCCUUGCCUUUGAAUUCGCUUUCCCUAGGCCAUGGGUCAACAUUAGUAGUUUAUACAUCCAAAUUGAUGACAAGAGCACCUCAAAGGCAGCAGCCUCAAGGAGCAGCCAUGGCCCCAGACUUGUCGCACGGAUGCAGAAAACUUAAUGGAGGAGGCUGAGGUCAGAAUGGGAAGAGUUUUUAAAAAAUAAA
This 579-nucleotide long non-coding RNA is filed under the name Pan troglodytes (chimpanzee). RNAcentral's name for it is "lincRNA". The record is from RNAcentral. Lineage: Eukaryota; Metazoa; Chordata; Mammalia; Primates; Hominidae.